This is a long non-coding RNA of Hypanus sabinus (Atlantic stingray), 648 nucleotides long. RefSeq lists it as uncharacterized. The record is from RefSeq and is a predicted model, not a curated record. Lineage: Eukaryota; Metazoa; Chordata; Chondrichthyes; Myliobatiformes; Dasyatidae. The transcript has 3 exons.
UUUACUGGCUGCAGAAACUAAUACAUAUCCAAAGUCUUUCCUUCAUUAUGAAGAGCUUUGGGUUACCCUGAGAUCACAAAAGUCAUAAUUUAAAACCAAAUGCUUAUGACAUCAGUGUAAAACAUUUGCAGCACUGCCAGUAUUCUGCAUGCUACGGUGCCACAUGCCUACUCGAUUCUUUCUUUGGGACAGAGGCUGGGUGAAGGAAAGGCAGCUGGUGCUGCUCGAGGUGCUGCAGGAAGUCAUCUGUUCAGAGCUGGCUGCAACGGAGAGUUUCCAAAUAUUGUCUUAUCUCUGAUGUAUCAUCAUCUGUUAUGGAGGAGGGGCCACUGCACAAGAUAUAAAAAAGCUGCAGAAGGUUGCAAAUUCAGCCACCUUCGCAGGGAACUAGCCUCACCAGCAUUGAGGGCAUCUUCAAAAGAUGGCAUCCAUAAUGAAGAACUGUCCUCAUCCAUGACAUGCUCCCUUCUUAACUGGGAGGAGGUCCAGGAGCCUGAAGACAGAUACUCAAUGUUUAAGCCUUCCUGCUAUGUGGUUCACGCAUGCUGCCUCUGCCUCCUGGAAUCCUCUCGGAGACUGCGGAUUGCUGGAACAUCCAAACAAUCUCCAAACAGCAAAUCACAGGCUUCAGCAGUUCCAGAAUCUCAU